RNAcentral lists this ribosomal RNA (474 nucleotides) under uncultured bacterium. Its description in RNAcentral is "bacterial SSU rRNA". It matches the Rfam family "Bacterial small subunit ribosomal RNA", at positions 38 to 507 of the family's 1533-position model. The record is from RNAcentral.
GGCGGCAGGCUUAACACAUGCAAGUCGAGCGGUAGCAGAUCUAGCUUGCUAGAUGCUGACGAGCGGCGGACGGGUGAGUAACGCGUAGGAACCUGCCCAGUAGUGGGGGAUAGCCCGGGGAAACUCGGAUUAAUACCGCAUACGCUCUACGGAGGAAAGAGGGGCUUCGGGCUCUCGCUAUUGGAUGGGCCUGCGUGAGAUUAGCUAGUUGGUGAGGUAAUGGCUCACCAAGGCGACGAUCUCUAGCUGGUCUGAGAGGAUGAUCAGCCACACUGGGACUGAGACACGGCCCAGACUCCUACGGGAGGCAGCAGUGGGGAAUAUUGCACAAUGGGCGCAAGCCUGAUGCAGCCAUGCCGCGUGUGUGAAGGAGGCUUUCGGGUUGUAAAGCACUUUCAGUGGGGAGGAAGGCCUCGUAGUUAAUAGCUGCGAGGAUUGACGUUACCCACAGAAGAAGCACCGGCUAACUCCGUG